Molecule: small RNA, 1062 nt
Filed under: uncultured Pelagibacterales bacterium
Lineage: Bacteria; Pseudomonadati; Pseudomonadota; Alphaproteobacteria; Candidatus Pelagibacterales
Description: bacterial SSU rRNA
Rfam family: Bacterial small subunit ribosomal RNA (bases 1-661)
Source: RNAcentral
CACCGCCUGGGGAGUACGACCGCAAGGUUAAAACUCAAAUGAAUUGACGGGGACCCGCACAAGUAGUGGAGCAUGUGGUUUAAUUCGAAGAUACGCGCAGAACCUUACCAACACUUGACAUGUUCGUCGCGACUCUAGGAGAUUAGAGUUUUCGGUUCGGCCGGACGAAACACAGGUGCUGCAUGGCUGUCGUCAGCUCGUGUCGUGAGAUGUUGGGUUAAGUCCCGCAACGAGCGCAACCCUCACUUUUAGUUGCCAUCAUUAAGUUGGGCACUCUGAAAGAACUGCCUUUGAUUAUUUUGGAGGAAGGUGGGGAUGACGUCAAGUCCUCAUGGCCCUUACGUGUUGGGCUACACACGUGCUACAAUGGUAUCUACAACAGGAAGCAAGACGGCGACGUUAAGCAAAUCCUUAAAAAGAUACCUCAGUUCGGAUUGCACUCUGCAACUCGAGUGCAUGAAGCUGGAAUUACUAGUAAUCGUGGAUCAGCGUGCCACGGUGAAUGCGUUCCCGGGUCUUGUACACACCGCCCGUCACACCAUGGGAGUUGGUUCUACCUUUAAGGCAAGGUUUCAAACCCUUGACCACGGUAUAGUCAGCGACUGGGGUGAAGUCGUAACAAGGUAGCCGUAGGGGAACCUGCGGCUGGAUUACCUCCUUUCUAAGGAUGAAUGAAAGUAAAAUUUUAUUCUAAAUAAUAUACAGGUAAUGUUGACCGUCCUCAUUUCUCUUCUUAAAAUAGUGUUUCUCUUGCAUGGGGGCCGGUAGCUCAGUUGGUUAGAGCACACCCUUGAUAAGGGUGGGGUCGAAAGUUCGAGUCUUUCUCGGCCCACCAAAUUAAUGGGGGAUUAGCUCAGCUGGGAGAGCGCAUGAUUUGCAUUCAGGAGGUCAGCGGUUCGAUCCCGCUAUCCUCCACCAAGAAACACUUAGCUAUUUUAUUUGUGAAUAUAUUUUUAAUAUUAUCAAUAUCUAUAUCCGAUUGUUCGAAUAGAUGAACAAUCAUGAAUGUUCGAAUAGAUGAACAUUCCAACAAAAUUUGAUUCAACACAGAAUUUUUUUCUG